UCAACAGUAAGAGAAGGAGCAAUAUCGCCAUUUGAUGAUUUGCCCACUGGACAUACCACGACUGCCACUCCAGUUCACUCGGCUGUACAUUGAAUUAGUAUUGCCUUCGGCUGGAGGGAGAGCUUAGACUGUGAUGGACUGGUGUCUCACUCUGUUACUCUUAUCCGUUAACCACGUAUCAUUCCGAGGAAUGACAAUGAUGAUCAGAACUCGUCAGUACCUCCGCAACUAGUAGGAUUCAGAAGUAUUCAUAGAGUUUUUCACCCCAAUCUCAAAUGAUGUGGUUGAUGCAGAACCCGCAUUCCUUAUGGUGAACUGAAACUACUUCAAGUGAAAAGUGCCACAGGAUGACAAAACUUUCUCAUGAUGGAGACGUCAACAAUGCCGGUGAAGGGCUUCAAAAUUUAGGCCUAUGAUUGGAGCUUACAACCUUUGAGCAGGGGGUCUUUAUUCUGCCAUACCUGCUGUGACACAGGGCCUCGGGUUUUGUUGUCUUAUCCGAAGGACCGCCCCAUUUAGUCGCCUCUUACGACAAGCAGGAAUACUGAGGACCUAUUCUAACCCGGAUCACGGAGGUGUAUCGUCCAUAAUCAGAUCCACAAAAAUUCCACAGGAAACCAACCAACAGGACGGACACAUAAUUGUGUACACUCGAUUUAAGAUGCAGAUAUUGAAUUUAAUUUCUAUCAAUAUGUUGAUGAGUGUAUACAUGUGAUAACUAAGUGAUGAUACACAAUAUACUGUCUGUCAUCGUAAAUAAACGAUAACAUACGUGUUGUAAUAAUCUGUGGUCAACUGACGAGAAAAUUACGUUUUGUUUGAAUAAAAUAUUUUAUUUAGGCAUGGCGGAGUCGAAAUUAUUGGUUGAAACUU
Molecule: long non-coding RNA, 873 nt
Organism: Ostrea edulis (European flat oyster)
Lineage: Eukaryota; Metazoa; Mollusca; Bivalvia; Ostreida; Ostreidae
Exons: 4
Source: RefSeq, a predicted model, not a curated record